UAAAGUAUAUAUUAUUGAAUAUAUUUUUGUCUUACCUUACAAUUGAUCAUAUACAUGUAUAUAUAUUACAAGAGUGAUAAAUACAAUUGAAUUGCUUGCUUGACAUAUGCCUAUUGCAGCUGUAACGUGCAACACCAUCAUUAUGAUUAUUAAUGCACAAUUGACCAAAUCAAAUCUCAUUGAUUUGGAAUGAUAUUGCAUGCUUCUUUGUUAAUUUGCUUCGGUCCAUUACGCCCCCUCAAGAUAAAGGUACCAUUAAUUACCUUUAUCUUGGAUGUAAGCUCUGUGAACUUGGUUGUGGCUAAAGGUUUAGUUAGCAAGUCUGCAAGUUGGUCUUUGGUGGACACAUGAGUGACUAUGAGCUUAUUCGCUUGAACUUGCUCUCUGACGAAGUGAUAAUCCAAUGAUAUGUGCUUCAUUCUUGAGUGAAGUAUUGGAUUUGAGCAAAGAUAUGUUGCACCUACAUUGUCACACAAUAAGCGUGGAGGGUCGGGCACCGCUAUUCGAAGCUCAUGUAGCAGGUUUUGUAACCACAUUAAUUCUGUGGUGGCAGUGGCAACUGCACGAUAUUCUGCCUCAGUGGAUGAUCGUGCCACGGUACGUUGUUUCCUUGAGAGCCAUGAGAUAGGAUUACCACCAAAAAAUAUAAUAUAUGCUGAUGUGGAGGUGC
Molecule: long non-coding RNA, 670 nt
Filed under: Medicago truncatula (barrel medic)
Lineage: Eukaryota; Viridiplantae; Streptophyta; Magnoliopsida; Fabales; Fabaceae
Description: long non-coding RNA (MTRU_LNC003827)
Source: RNAcentral